Long non-coding RNA from Ruditapes philippinarum (Manila clam), 436 nucleotides. RefSeq lists it as uncharacterized. The record is from RefSeq and is a predicted model, not a curated record. The transcript is spliced from 3 exons. Lineage: Eukaryota; Metazoa; Mollusca; Bivalvia; Venerida; Veneridae.
ACCAUCGUUUUACAAAAAGCGACUGUUUCCUUUCGGUAUUGGAAUAGAAGUAACACUAUAGAAGAAGUCCGGGAAAUGCAAAUACUAGAUUUACUGUGUACACAUGAUUUUCAUGUAAAUAUCUGAUUUAUAUUGGAAUAUUUCCAACUGAGAUUGAAUAUCUCUAAAGUGAAGAUACGAAGAGGACUUCCAUAUUGCCUGUAGAUGUCUGUUGUGCCUGUUGUUCAGUAAUGGAGUAAACAAUUUCAGCAGAUGUAGGAGUUUUACAUAGAUUCCGAUACAAUUUGGGCAAGGAUGAUCCAACAGUUUCAAAAUAUGGCGCCGUCGUUGUUUGCAAUACUGCUGACGAUAACAAAUCUUUGCUCAAAAAUGCAAAACAUUCGAGCAGAGGAUACGAUAAAUCCUCCUUACAUAAUUGAAACGCAUAUAAAUGGGC